UACGUAGGGGGCAAGCGUUGUUCGGAAUUAUUGGGCGUAAAGCGCGCGCAGGCGGUGAUGUAAGUUUGGUGUAUAAGCCCGAGGCUCAACCUCGGGACGCACUGAAAACUGUAUGACUGGAGUGCAGGAGAGGAAAGUGGAAUUCCACGUGUAGCGGUGAAAUGCGUAGAGAUGUGGAGGAACACCAGUGGCGAAGGCGACUUUCUGGCCUGUAACUGACGCUGAGGCGCGAAAGCGUGGGGAGCAAACAGG
This 252-nucleotide ribosomal RNA is filed under the name uncultured bacterium. RNAcentral's name for it is "partial 16S ribosomal RNA". It matches the Rfam family "Bacterial small subunit ribosomal RNA", at positions 524 to 776 of the family's 1533-position model. The record is from RNAcentral.